CACGUAGGAGGCAAACGUUAUCCGGAUUUACUGGGCGUAAAGCGCGUGUAGGUGGUACUGUAAGUAGGGCGUGAAAGCUCCCGGCUCAACUGGGAGAGGCCGUUCUAAACUGCAGAACUAGAGGAUGGUAGAGGGAGGUGGAAUUCCAGGUGUAGCGGUGGAAUGCGCAGAUAUCUGGAGGAACACCAGUGGCGAAAGCGGCCUCCUGGACCACUCCUGACACUCAGACGCGAAAGCUAGGGUAGCAAACGGG
Molecule: ribosomal RNA, 253 nt
Filed under: uncultured prokaryote
Description: partial 16S ribosomal RNA
Rfam family: Bacterial small subunit ribosomal RNA
Source: RNAcentral